UGUUCCUCUGCGAGCUCACAUCUUCUCUCUGCUCACCUCUCACUGACAAUUUUCUCAUGCUCCCUUGAAGCAGACCCAGAGGUUUUGUUGUUAGAGGCUCUUUGGGCUGUGCCUUAUGUGUCACUGAAUGGAGGAGAAUGCCCUGCACAGAGAGGCUGCUUCAGUGGAUAAUGGGAAAAUCAGUGUCUGGUCUUGCUGUCAACAGGCUGUAGCUUGGAGAGAAAUCUUCACUAAUCAGCUUGCUUUGUAGCGUUUUUACAGCAAAAUAAAAGAUGUCUGGAUUUA
Molecule: long non-coding RNA, 285 nt
Organism: Pogoniulus pusillus (Red-fronted tinkerbird)
Lineage: Eukaryota; Metazoa; Chordata; Aves; Piciformes; Lybiidae
Exons: 2
Source: RefSeq, a predicted model, not a curated record